Paramuricea clavata is the source of this 3011-nucleotide non-coding RNA. Lineage: Eukaryota; Metazoa; Cnidaria; Anthozoa; Malacalcyonacea; Plexauridae. The record is from the annotation of a GenBank genome assembly.
AAACACACAAUAAAUAAAUGUACAUAUAUUUAUAGAUGAAACAUGUACUUUAAUAGUAAUAUGUCUUUCAUGCAUUGCAUAUACUACAUAUGCAUAUGAAAUUAAAUGUUCAUUAAUUAAAUUAAAUAUCUUAUUUUAGGCCUGAUGUGUUUAAUGGGUCACAAGGGGUUUAAUGGGACCAUCACGGGCAAUAUUUUUCGCUGGCAAAGGCUCUUGGGGACGACUGCAAUAAAUCUAGAACAAUUCCAGGAAACUCGUAAGUAUUCGUGAUGCUAUUUAUUCCUGAAAUUUACAACAGUUUGCUUCCAAAUUAGCGAAAGAUUCUUGGAGUUUACCACAAUUUAAAAUAACUAUCACACUAGUACAGUAUCAUAGUCCUAAAUUCAUUUAUAUUCAGGCAAACACAUGCAUUCAUGUGAUGACAUUCUAGAAAAUUUACUGCUAUUUAUAGUAGCUUUCAGUAAGCGUGCAUGGCAACGUAAAUGGUGGUUAAUUUCAGAACAGCUGGCACUUAUUAGAACAUGAGCGUAAUAUUAUACUAUGCAUCUCAAUUCUAUUUAAUUACUAUGUAUAAAUACCUCUGAUAACUGCAGGUUGACCACCAUCUAUUAGGUGGCGAAGGGCUCUCGGAUUUUGCCAAAUUUUGAAAUGGUAUACAAAAGUACAAAACGAGAAUAAAGCAAGGUGUUAUAUCCGAAGAGAAUUAGUCUGCGCACAGACUGUCCCUCCCCCCCCCCAAAAAACCCCCCAAACCACCCACCCCCCGUGGCAAUCUCGUACCCAGAAUUUAGAAUUUAUUCUGUGCUGUGAUUGGUUUACCGUUUAUCAGAAAUGCAUGCCGACAAAGAACCGGAACCCCUAGGGGUUCCGGUUGUUUAUUUCCCCAGAGCCAAUGCCUUCUUAACCCGCGCACAGGCAUUGCUCUCGGUACGAGAUUGCCUCCGUGGUGGAAGGAGAACAGUCUGCGACCAUUUGUCAUUAAUGCUGUACAGUGAAGUAGUCGUAUAAAUAGAUAUAAUAUCAUGCACUUCAGCACUUUAGUGGCUUUCUAAUUUUAUUAUCCAAUCAGGUGCGGUAAUCGGUAAAACCGGUGUACUCGUCUGAAUCGUCUCGAAAUUAGCUAAGCAAAUUUAUGCAAGUAUAAUUUUGAAACGAACCAAUCGAAACGAACCAACCGCCGAUCAUAUUUCGCCGGUAGCUGUACAGCAUUAGCGUCGAAUGACAGCAGACUGUAAUCCCGCGGGGGGAACGGGAUGCAGUCUGCGAGCUGACUAGAAGAGAAUUAACUAACCUAAAAUUAAAAAAAUAAAAAUUGUCUUGACUAUACGUUUAAAGCUGUACUUUUAUUACAUAACACGCAUUCAUGGGUGCUUGUCAUCAGCUCGCUCUGCUUAGUCAACAGUCAAUAAUUAUACUGGUCAACUCGUUAAGUGAUAAUAUUACUGUUCUUGUAUCUUUUGUACUAAUGCUAAUCAUUAAAACAGGUCGAAUAAGUUAUAAUAAAAAUAAGAGUCAUCUAGUUAUCAACACCCAUCAUUGCAAGUAUCGGUAUAUACUGUUCCAAUCAGUUUUACACAGCAAUAUUGAGUUCUCAAUUUUCGUAUCAUUCAGAAGAUUGUUUAUUCUUGAUCCAGUGAACGCAAAAGAACAUUUCCACACCAGCAGAUUCUGUUUUACUUUCAAAGGAACCAUGCCAUUAUUGUUACCACGUGGUCCUAGUGAAGUAAUCUUUGACAUCUGGACAAUUCAAACAUUUUGAAAACACACAAUUUUUCUUGUUUGCAUUGCGUCAUUUCCUGGAGAAUCAUUCAUUCUGUCUCUUUUCAUUUGAUUACUAUAUUAUAACUGAUAUGUUCAAUUUCCAAAAAGUAUAGGUCAGUAAAUACUCAAUUAAACGAGGAUACAAUUUUAUGUUAAUUAAGUAUCCAGAUUAAUAUUUGUUUGUUUUGUGGAAAACACCAUGCAUAUUUAUUGUUGCAAAGCUUUUGAUCCGUAAGCCCGAAUCUUUAGCAGCGCUAAUGAAAUACGAUUUGUUCCAAUCAUAGUUAUAUUAACUAUGUUCCAAUUCACGCCUCGUUUUUAUAUACUAUCUAUGUGUUCGUGGUAUUUGAAAGUUCAUUAAACUGUUGCAUCAGUCACGUGAUUUCAUCAAUGUUAUUCUGAUUCAUCAAUGUCAUUCUGAUUUCUGAACAACAUUGAUGACUGAUGCGAUCUAAUGAGCGCUCGCGCAUGCUAGACAUGAGAAAACCUACUUUGCAUAUCAAAGAAGGUACAGCAACGUACUAUCCAAUGGUUUUCCCUCUUGAAUUUGAAUAUGUAUUGUUGCUUGCGAGAAAACUUAAGAGUUAUGAGUUUCAGUCGCCAAAAUGAUUGAAUUUGAAAACAAGUCGUAUAUUAUUAGCACCGAUGAAGAUUCGGCUUGCGGAUCGAAAGCUUAGUGCGAUAAUAAAAAUACGUGAUGUUUUGCACAAAUCAAAACAAAUAUUAUAUUGUCGCCAUAUGUUGUCUAAACGAAUUGCGCACCAGAUAUAUUAUUGCAGAGCACAGGUUUAGAAAAUAUGAUCUUUCAAUUUCUAGAAAAACGAGUUAAUAUAAAACCGAAUUAGAGAUAACUUAUUAUCGGUUUACUUGUACUCGUGUUGCAUUCUUUUGUUUGUAGAAAACACAUGCAAUCAUGCAGAUACUUACCUUUUACUUACCCAUUUCUUUUUCCCUUACGCUAGCCAUUUUCCUAAGGCUUGCAACAUUAAGGUUACACGACACCCUUUUUGGCGUUUUGCGGAAAAUCGCUACUGCGCGCUCAAUAUCAGUCCGAUUUUCAUCAAAUUUUCACCAAAUGUUCUCCAGUGCAUGCAAAAUAUGGUAAACUUGUAAAAUCAAUAAAAAAUAAAAUAAUAUAAGAAUUAUUCAGGAAAAUCUUAAAUCGCGGUGCCGUUACGCUUUUGAGUUGUGCUCCUGCUGGUUUUAAGUUAUAUUUAUGAAAAUAUCAUUUUUAUACAGUGAAAUAGUUG